This 427-nucleotide ribosomal RNA is filed under the name Leptodactylus nesiotus group sp. ABGD cluster 60. Its description in RNAcentral is "partial large subunit ribosomal RNA". It matches the Rfam family "Bacterial large subunit ribosomal RNA", at positions 1826 to 2441 of the family's 2925-position model. The record is from RNAcentral. Lineage: Eukaryota; Metazoa; Chordata; Amphibia; Anura; Leptodactylidae.
CUUGACAAACCAAUAAGAGGUCCAGCCUGCCCAGUGACUCUGUUCAACGGCCGCGGUAUCCUAACCGUGCGAAGGUAGCGUAAUCACUUGUUCUUUAAAUGAGGACUAGUAUGAAUGGCAUCACGAGGGUUAAACUGUCUCCUCCCUCUAAUCAAUGAAACUAAUCUCCCCGUGAAGAAACGGGGAUAAAUAUAUAAGACGAGAAGACCCUAUGGAGCUUUAAACACACAACAAUUGCCCCACCCCCCCACUAAAAAUCUCCGGAAAACCACUUACCUGGGCGCUUUGAUUGCAAGUUUUAGGUUGGGGUGACCGCGGAGCAAAAAACAACCUCCACAGCGAAUGGAACUUUUUCCUAAACCAAGAGCUACGGCCCUAAGAAUCAAUAAAUUGACACCCAUUGACCCAAUAUUUUUGACCAACGAAC